CUGAAGAGAGGGGGUGUGUGUCACUUUGUCUGACAACUGACUACCCUUAGGACGUUACUUUUUGCCUUUCAUUGUAUACAUUUUUGGUACACAAUGACUGCAAAGAAGAAACAGUUUGCCAAGAACAUUAGCCACAAGAGGAAAAGGCACAUAGAAGCAAUGAUAAGGUCUAUACAAGCAAAGUGAGCAGCAGCUGCUGUGGUUGGUGACGCCGCCACGAUGCUAGUACCACCUCCCUCCUCUCAACACCUGUCCUUGUUCACUGCUACUGAACUAUUGGAUAUUUCAUGUUCAGAAACAAGUUAGACAAAAUAUAGGAGCCCCGCAAAUAUGCCCACCUCCACCACGGCUGCUACUACCACAACUACUACCUCCACUGCUGCCUGGAGGACAUUAGAUAAUCAUGUGUCCACCUACAUCCAGUCAUAGAUUGAUUGGGAUGGAUUUUUAUGAUUGGCCGGCCACCAGAGAACUUCAGGAUAAAGGGAUCUUCAUGGAACUUCAGGAAUAAUGUCUAUAUAACCAGUUCUACUCUCAAUAAACGUAUAAAGGCA
Cherax quadricarinatus is the source of this 554-nucleotide non-coding RNA. NCBI's taxonomy places the organism in Eukaryota, Metazoa, Arthropoda, Malacostraca, Decapoda, Parastacidae. The record is from RefSeq and is a predicted model, not a curated record.